CCUGUCAGCAAUGCCGCGUGCAGGAAGAAGGCCUUCGGGUUGUAACUGCUUUUGUACGGAACGAAACGGCUCUUUCUAAUAAAGAGGGCUAAUGACGGUACCGUAAGAAUAAGCACCGGCUAACUACGUGCCAGCAGCCGCGGUAAUACGUAGGGUGCGAGCGUUAAUCGGAAUUACUGGGCGUAAAGCGUGCGCAGGCGGUUAUAUAAGACAGUUGUGAAAUCCCCGGGCUCAACCUGGGAAUUGCAUCUGUGACUGUAUAGCUAGAGUACGGUAGAGGGGGAUGGAAUUCCGCGUGUAGCAGUGAAAUGCGUAGAUAUGCGGAGGAACACCGAUGGCGAAGGCAAUCCCCUGGACCUGUACUGACGCUCAUGCACGAAAGCGUGGGGAGCAAACAGGAUUAGAUACCCUGGUAGUCCACGCCCUAAACGAUGUCAACUGGUUGUUGGGUGCAUUAGUACUCAGUAACGAAGCUAACGCGUGAAGUUGACCGCCUGGGGAGUACGGCCGCAAGGUUGAAACUCAAGG
Molecule: ribosomal RNA, 528 nt
Filed under: uncultured Polaromonas sp.
Lineage: Bacteria; Pseudomonadati; Pseudomonadota; Betaproteobacteria; Burkholderiales; Comamonadaceae
Description: bacterial SSU rRNA
Rfam family: Bacterial small subunit ribosomal RNA
Source: RNAcentral